CAAUGCCCUCUGGGCUCACUGGUGAAUCAUGAUAACUUCGCGAAUCGCAUGGCCUUGUGCCGGCGAUGGCUCAUUCAAAUUUCUUCCCUAUCAACUUUCGAUGUUUGGGUAGUGGCCAAACAUGGUUGCAACGGGUAACGGAGGGUUAGGGCUCGACCCCGGAGAAGGAGCCUGAGAAACGGCUACUACAUCCAAGGAAGGCAGCAGGCGCGCAAAUUACCCAAUCCCGAUUCGGGGAGGUAGUGACAAUAAAUACUGAUACAGGGCUCUUUUGGGUCUUGUAAUUGGAAUGAGUACAAUUUAAAUCCCUUAACGAGGAACAAUUAGAGGGCAAGUCUGGUGCCAGCAGCCGCGGUAAUUCCAGCUCUAAUAGCGUAUAUUAAAGUUGUUGUGGUUAAAAAGCUCGUAGUUGAACCUUGGGCCUGGCUGGCGGGUCCGCCUCACCGCGUGUACUUCGCCGGCCGGGCCUUUCCCUCUGUGGAACCCUAUGCCCUUCACUGGGUGUGGUGGGGAAACAGGACUUUUACUUUGAAAAAAUUAGAGUGCUCCAGGCAGGCCUAUGCUCGAAUAUAUUAGCAUGGAAUAAUAAAAUAGGACGUGUGGUUCUAUUUUGUUGGUUUCUAGGACCGCCGUAAUGAUUAAUAGGGACAGCCGGGGGCAUCAGUAUUCAAUUGUCAGAGGUGAAAUUCUUGGAUUUAUUGAAGACUAACUACUGCGAAAGCAUUUGCCAAGAAUGUUUUCAUUAAUCAGGAACGAAAGUUAGGGGAUCGAAGACGAUCAGAUACCGUCGUAGUCUUAACCAUAAACUAUGCCGACUAGGGA
RNAcentral lists this ribosomal RNA (822 nucleotides) under Ophiocordyceps buquetii. RNAcentral's name for it is "SSU rRNA". It matches the Rfam family "Eukaryotic small subunit ribosomal RNA", at positions 223 to 1052 of the family's 1831-position model. The record is from RNAcentral. Lineage: Eukaryota; Fungi; Ascomycota; Sordariomycetes; Hypocreales; Ophiocordycipitaceae.